RNAcentral lists this ribosomal RNA (460 nucleotides) under uncultured bacterium. RNAcentral's name for it is "partial 16S ribosomal RNA". It matches the Rfam family "Bacterial small subunit ribosomal RNA", at positions 339 to 795 of the family's 1533-position model. The record is from RNAcentral.
CUACGAGUUGCAGCAGUAAGGAAUAUUGCGCAAUGGAGGCAACUCUGACGCAGCCAUGCCGCGUGCAGGAAGAAGGCCUUAUGGGUCGUAAACUGCUUUUAUUUAGGAAUAAACCCCCGAACGUGUUCGGGGCUGAAGGUACUAAACGAAUAAGCACCGGCUAACUCCGUGCACAGCAGCCGCGGUAAUACGGAGGGUGCAAGCGUUAUCCGGAUUUAUUGGGUUUAAAGGGUGUGCAGGCGGGCUAUUAAGUCAGUGGUGAAAUCCCGGGGCUCAACUCCGGAACUGCCAUUGAUACUGAUAGUCUUGAGUUUGGUUGAAGUGGGCGGAAUGUAGCAUGUAGCGGUGAAAUGCAUAGAUAUGCUACAGAACACCAAUCGCGAAGGCAGCUCACUAAGCCAAAACUGACGCUCAUGCACGAAAGCGUGGGGAUCAAACAGGAUUAGAUACCCCCGUAGUC